RNAcentral lists this long non-coding RNA (1233 nucleotides) under Sus scrofa (pig). Its description in RNAcentral is "lncRNA (ENSSSCG00015015392.1)". Lineage: Eukaryota; Metazoa; Chordata; Mammalia; Artiodactyla; Suidae. The record is from RNAcentral.
AGUGUGCGCUCCUGUCUUUGAUGGUAUCGACAAAGUGUGGUUUCACGUGUUGCCCCAACUGAGGCCGGUUUCCUGUCUGUAUGCGGAGUAGAUGGAAGGACCGCGCUGGGCCUUUCUGCCUGCCUGGAGUCAUCUGGAGAGAAAUCAAGUGUGAGCACCUCUCCCGCAGAAAGUUCUGUAUGUUAUGUAACACCCUCACUCAGGGCUUCCUCGGGUUACCAGCGUGCUCUCAAUCAGCCAGCCCUCGGCUUUCUGGCUGGGGUGGGGUGGCGGUGGGGUGUCAGUGUGAUGUAAGUGGAGGUGGAGGCUUCAUUCCCAGGGGGCAUCCCCCCCGCCAAGCCCCAGUUCAAGGCCCAGGAACAAAGGGAUAGAAAGGGAACUGAUCUGUCCUUAGCUUUUCCCCUCCACCUGCAACCCCCCCUCCGCCUGCAUCUCCCCCACUUGCCCACUGACAGGGCCUCCUCUGAGAAACAGAGGAAAGCCUGUGGGCUCAGGUACCCAGGAAACACCCCCACCAUUGACACUCAGAAACCCCAUUUGAGGGGCAGGCUGCAGGCGGGGCAGGGCCACUACCUCUGCUCCCAAGUCUGGACCCAAGGCUACUUGCCUAGCAUCCUUUUCUUAUUAAAAACAUCCAGGACAACUAUUAAAUAGUUCUUGGGAGAGUUAAAGGCAUUGCUCCAGUUUGAAACAUUUCUAAAGCCCCGUUUGGAAGAAAUCUUGGAGGAGGACAAAAUGUCAUCAGUAGGCUUGGCUUCGCAAGUCUGAAAGGUUUCUCCCCACCCCCCAGAUGUUAAUGAAAAAUAGUUUGGAGAUGUUGUUUUGUUCACUGAUAGGUACCUCCCUGUUGUAGCCUACAGAUUCUCAAGGCCAAGCCAGUAAGGCAUUAUUUUCAUUUUGCUAGCUUCUGGGUGAUACUAUACUUUCCGAUUGAAUCUACUUAAUUUAGUUUAUUUAAAAAAAAACAAAAACAAAAAAACAAUGCUGCUGCAGAAUUUUCCAUCUUGGAAAUGUAAGUGAAAAACAGAGUUUCUCUCACCCAGGUUCCUAUAGGGGCAGAGUGGAAGGACCCUGGCGGGGCUCCCCUUUAUGCCUCGAAUUUGCCCCCCCUGAAGCCAGGGGACUGAAGGUGGUAGGUACUGGCACCUCUUACUUCAUUGCUGGUGCAGGGCGCGUCCUUUGAAAGGAAUCUCUAUUCUGUUUCAGUGCAAGGUUCCAGUCGACUAAAUGAGC